UAUGGGCGCCAAAACCAUAAACCUCAAUACCCCGUCCGGUAUGAGGGUGAAACGGGCCGUCCCCAUACCCCGUCCGGUAUGGGCGCCAAAACCAUAAGAUCUCCAUACCCCGUCCGGCAUGUGAGACCACAAUCCCGGUAGGGUUCCCUACAGACCCGGUCCGUCCACCAUCUCCCAGGAUAUCUAGUCAGGCUGACCCCAUAAUAC
This 207-nucleotide long non-coding RNA is filed under the name Carica papaya (papaya). Its description in RNAcentral is "long non-coding RNA (CPAP_LNC014925)". The record is from RNAcentral. Lineage: Eukaryota; Viridiplantae; Streptophyta; Magnoliopsida; Brassicales; Caricaceae.